GAUUUCUGAUGAACCGGAGUGGCCCGUUUCCUUUCAGGGAAUGAGUGCCUUCCAGAGAGCUGCGUCUACCGUUUACUCGGCCGGACGUAUGCGAUCUGGAUCUAUUACUUUGAAAAAAUUAGAGUGUUUAAAGCAGGCUUAUGCUAUGAAUACAUUAGCAUGGAAUAAUAAUUUAGGACUUUGGUUCUAUUUUGUUGGUUUCUAGGACUGAAGUAAUGAUUGAUAGGGAUAGUUGGGGGUGCUAGUAUUCCGCGGCCAGAGGUGAAAUUCUUGGAUUCGUGGAAGACUAACUACUGCGAAAGCAUU
Molecule: ribosomal RNA, 306 nt
Filed under: Cercomonadida environmental sample
Lineage: Eukaryota; Cercozoa; Cercomonadida
Description: bacterial SSU rRNA
Rfam family: Eukaryotic small subunit ribosomal RNA (bases 91-306)
Source: RNAcentral